CUAAUACUCCCUCCGUCCGGAAAUACUUGUCGUCGAAAUGGCUAAAAGUGGAUGUAUCUAAAACUAAAAUCUGUUUAGAUACAUCCAUUUCUCCGACAAGUAUUUCCGGAUGGAGGGAGUAACAG
Triticum aestivum (bread wheat) is the source of this 125-nucleotide non-coding RNA. Lineage: Eukaryota; Viridiplantae; Streptophyta; Magnoliopsida; Poales; Poaceae. The record is from Rfam.